CCUACGGGAGGCAGCAGUGAGGAAUAUUGGUCAAUGGACGAGAGUCUGAACCAGCCAAGUAGCGUGAAGGAUGACUGCCCUCUGGGUUGUAAACUUCUUUUAUAAGGGAAUAAAACGGGGAGAGUAUCCCUUCUUGUAUGUACUUUAUGAAUAAGGAUCGGCUAACUCCGUGCCAGCAGCCGCGGUAAUACGGAGGAUCCGAGCGUUAUCCGGAUUUAUUGGGUUUAAAGGGAGCGUAGGUGGGUUGUUAAGUCAGUUGUGAAAGUUUGCGGCUCAACCGUAAAAUUGCAGUUGAUACUGGCAGUCUUGAGUACAGUAGAGGUGGGCGGAAUUCGAGGUGUAGCGGUGAAAUGCUUAGAUAUCACGAAGAACUCCGAUUGCGAAGGCAGCUCACUGGACUGUAACUGACACUGAUGCUCGAAAGUGUGGGUAUCAAACAGGAGUAGAUACCCGUGUAGUC
This 460-nucleotide ribosomal RNA is filed under the name uncultured bacterium. Its description in RNAcentral is "partial 16S ribosomal RNA". It matches the Rfam family "Bacterial small subunit ribosomal RNA", at positions 338 to 795 of the family's 1533-position model. The record is from RNAcentral.